AUUGAACGCUGGCGGCAUGCCUUACACACGCAAGUCGAACGGUAACAGGUCUUCGGAUGCUGACGAGUGGCGAACGGGUGAGUAAUACAUCGGAACGUGCCCAGACGUGGGGGAUAACGAGGCGAAAGCUUUGCUAAUACCGCAUACGAUCUAAGGAUGAAAGCAGGGGACCGCAAGGCCUUGCGCGUUUGGAGCGGCCGAUGGCAGAUUAGGUAGUUGGUGGGAUAAAAGCUUACCAAGCCGACGAUCUGUAGCUGGUCUGAGAGGACGACCAGCCACACUGGGACUGAGACACGGCCCAGACUCCUACGGGAGGCAGCAGUGGGGAAUUUUGGACAAUGGGCGAAUGCCUGAUCCAGCAAUGCCGCGUGCAGGAUGAAGGCCUUCGGGUUGUAAACUGCUUUUGUACGGAACGAAAAGGCUCUGGCUAAUACCUGGGGCACAUGACGGUACCGUAAGAAUAAGCACCGGCUAACUACGUG
RNAcentral lists this ribosomal RNA (482 nucleotides) under uncultured bacterium. RNAcentral describes it as "partial 16S ribosomal RNA". It matches the Rfam family "Bacterial small subunit ribosomal RNA", at positions 30 to 507 of the family's 1533-position model. The record is from RNAcentral.